UUGUUCUGAUUUGGGUGAAUCUGAGGCUAGACAAGAGGGUUGCCUCCAGAAUUUGGAUUCAGGGUGUGAAUGCAGCAUAAUGAUGGUAGGAGGGUGCCUGUUCAUGUGCUUCCCCAGAGUUUUUGUGUGUGUGUGUGUGUGUGUUGAUGUUGAUGAUGAUAGGUGUGUUUUUGUAGGAUGAUGCAGAAGUCCUCGUCUCUUGAUUAUAUGUUUUGUUAGUUUCUGUGAUGUGUAGCACAUGAUGGACACUUGUUAGGAUGUAUUUUGUCGAGAAGCAAGCACCUAUCAAUAUUUUAAGCUCCAAGGAAUAACAUUUUCAUGGAGCCAUUCAGACUGUUUGUUGUAUGGUUCUGCGUGCGUGCGUGCCUGCACAAAAUGUUAAUAUAUAAUGGAGCCCAUACCGAUGUAAUAAUGGUCCAGAUACUCGGCUUUUCCUCUUUGUGCUGUUCAUGAAUAAUAAUGUUUAGAAUUCACAUUUGUUCUGCGUGCGUGCCCAUACCGACGUAACCAAAAGAACAGUCUGAAGUUUCUGUAAUGUGUUUAUUCGUAUUCAUAAUGUGAAUUGUUUGAGCUCAACAUUGAACUAGUUUGGCUCACACCACGACAUUUUUUUCUUUUUCAGUUUAAGCUCAAAAUUUGCUAUGUCUCUUGUCCUUCUUCUGCAGAAGUAUUCCAUCGGUACAGCAGAGAGAGGACAAGGGGCUCAUCAAGGCACGCGGUGCUAGGCACUUCCAUUCGACGGCCCCACUGCUUGUUCGACAUCCUAUUUCAAAACAGCCGUGGUGAGCUCUUGGUAUGACUCAGGAAUUUUCCUUCUUCAGUAUGUUAGAAGUACAAAGGUCUCGGAUUGGAGGGGUUCUCUAAUGAUGAUUUACAAGCUCUACGUCAAAAUUCCUUUUUGAGAUUGUAACUUGCAAGGACAAUGAAAUUCAGCUGCCGUUAGUAACUUCUUUCCUGCAGAGACAUGGUCUCAUUAAUACCGUCACCUUCAAAGGAAGUUGCACUGCAAGAUUCAACUCAAAGGAAUACUUCCAUGGGAAAAAUGUUUCCUUAUCGAUAGAGCUAUCUUUUUUCUCUUGUUGGUCUAGUGAUAGUUUCUUCCAAGACCUUCAGCUGUAAACAAUGUCCGAAAACAGUUGAAGCAGUUUUGUAAACGAGCAGUAAGACAUGUACAUUUUUUUGUCUUUCAUGACGCCUUGGUGAUACUAUCAUCACUCAAUUUCAUCAA
Molecule: non-coding RNA, 1228 nt
Organism: Aegilops tauschii subsp. strangulata
Lineage: Eukaryota; Viridiplantae; Streptophyta; Magnoliopsida; Poales; Poaceae
Source: RefSeq, a predicted model, not a curated record